GUCCAUGUGGUGGAAUGGGUAGACACGCUACUUUAAGGGGGUAGUAUUCGAAAGAAUGUGCUGGUUCGAAUCCAGUCAUGGACA
This 84-nucleotide transfer RNA is filed under the name Candidatus Walczuchella monophlebidarum. Its description in RNAcentral is "tRNA-Leu (AAG) (tRNA-Leu-AAG-1-1)". It matches the Rfam family "tRNA". Rfam says of the family: Transfer RNA (tRNA) molecules are approximately 80 nucleotides in length. Their secondary structure includes four short double-helical elements and three loops (D, anti-codon, and T loops). The record is from Rfam by way of RNAcentral. Lineage: Bacteria; Pseudomonadati; Bacteroidota; Flavobacteriia; Flavobacteriales.